Molecule: ribosomal RNA, 331 nt
Filed under: uncultured bacterium
Lineage: Bacteria
Description: bacterial SSU rRNA
Rfam family: Bacterial small subunit ribosomal RNA
Source: RNAcentral
AACGAACGCUGGCGGCGUGGAUAAGACAUGCAAGUCGAACGGGACUAAAUCUGUAGCAAUACAGGUUUAGUUUAGUGGCGAACGGGUGCGUAACACGUGGGCAAUCUGCCGAGAAGUGGGGGAUAGCUCGCCGAAAGGCGAAUUAAUACCGCAUAUGAUCAGCUAAGACAUCUUAGCGACAUCAAAGCCGGGGUAACCUGGCGCUUCUUGAUGAGCCCGCGGCCAUCAGCUAGUUGGCGAGGUAACGGCUCACCAAGGCUAUGACGGGUAGCUGGUCUGAGAGGACGACCAGUCACACUGGAACUGAGACACGGUCCAGGCACCUACGGGU